This 393-nucleotide ribosomal RNA is filed under the name Derectaotus sp. May. RNAcentral describes it as "partial 12S ribosomal RNA". The record is from RNAcentral. Lineage: Eukaryota; Metazoa; Arthropoda; Insecta; Orthoptera; Mogoplistidae.
UAUUAUGGAAAAUGUAAAUGUAAAUAUGAAAUGGGUAGUAAUAGAUAAGAUCUUGAAACUCAAAGAGUUUGGCGGUGUUUUAAUCUAUUCAGAGGAAUCUGUUCUGUGAUUGAUAUUACACGAGUGAGUAAAUCUAAUUUUUAUUUGUAUAUCGCCGUCGUUGAUUAUUUUGUUAAAAGGAAUUUAAAAUUUCAGGAAAUAUGUGAGUAUAAAAUGUCAGGUCAAGGUGCAAUGAUAAUUAGGAAGAAAUGGAUUACAAUAAAUUUAAUUAUAUGAAUUAUUUUAAGGGACGAGAUUAUGAAGGUGGAUUUGAAAGUAAAUUGAAUUUGAUUUUUUAAUUGAAGUAAGCUCUAAAACAUGCACACAUCGCCCGUCGCUUUCAUAAUAGGUGAA